This 497-nucleotide ribosomal RNA is filed under the name uncultured bacterium. RNAcentral's name for it is "partial 16S ribosomal RNA". It matches the Rfam family "Bacterial small subunit ribosomal RNA", at positions 28 to 507 of the family's 1533-position model. The record is from RNAcentral.
GAUGAACGCUGGCGGCGUGCCUAAUACAUGCAAGUCGAGCGAACAGACGAGGAGCUUGCUCCUCUGACGUUAGCGGCGGACGGGUGAGUAACACGUGGAUAACCUACCUAUAAGACUGGGAUAACUUCGGGAAACCGGAGCUAAUACCGGAUAAUAUAUUGAACCGCAUGGUUCAAUAGUGAAAGACGGUUUUGCUGUCACUUAUAGAUUGAUCCGCGCCGCAUUAGCUAGUUGGUAAGGUAACGGCUUACCAAGGCGACGAUGCGUAGCCGACCUGAGAGGGUGAUCGGACACACUGGAACUGAGAAACGGUACAGACUCCUACGGGAGGCAGCAGUAGGGAAUCUUCCGCAAUGGGCGAAAGCCUGACGGAGCAACGCCGCGUGAGUGAUGAAGGUCUUCGGAUCGUAAAACUCUGUUAUUAGGGAAGAACAAAUGUGUAAGUAACUAUGCACGUCUUGACGGUACCUAAUCAGAAAGCCACGGCUAACUACGUG